CCUACGGGAGGCAGCAGUGAGGAAUAUUGGUCAAUGGCCGGAAGGCUGAACCAGCCAUGCCGCGUGAAGGUCAGUGCCCUAUGGGCGUUAAACUUCUUUUGUGCGGGAGCAAUAAUGGUCACGUGUGGCCAGACGAGAGUACCGUACGAAUAAGCAUCGGCUAACUCCGUGCCAGCAGCCGCGGUAAUACGGGGGAUGCAAGCGUUAUCCGGAUUUAUUGGGUUUAAAGGGUGCGUAGGCUGUGAGGUAAGUCAGCGGUGAAAUGCCCCCGCUCAACGGGGUGAAGUGCCAUUGAUACUGCCUGGCUGGAAUGCGGAUGCCGUGGGAGGAAUGUGUGGUGUAGCGGUGAAAUGCAUAGAUAUCACACAGAACACCGAUUGCGAAGGCAUCUCACGAAUCCGCGAUUGACGCUGAUGCACGAAAGCGUGGGUAUCAAACAGGAUGAGAUACCCUUGUAGUC
RNAcentral lists this ribosomal RNA (460 nucleotides) under uncultured bacterium. RNAcentral describes it as "partial 16S ribosomal RNA". It matches the Rfam family "Bacterial small subunit ribosomal RNA", at positions 338 to 795 of the family's 1533-position model. The record is from RNAcentral.